RNAcentral lists this ribosomal RNA (466 nucleotides) under uncultured bacterium. Its description in RNAcentral is "partial 16S ribosomal RNA". It matches the Rfam family "Bacterial small subunit ribosomal RNA", at positions 28 to 507 of the family's 1533-position model. The record is from RNAcentral.
GACGAACGCUGGCGGCGUGCUUAACACAUGCAAGUCGAACGGAAAGGCCUCUUUCGGGGGGUACUCGAGUGGCGAACGGGUGAGUAACACGUGAGUAACCUGCCCUUGACUUUGGGAUAACUUCAGGAAACUGGGGCUAAUACCGGAUAGGAGCUCCUGCUGCAUGGUGGGGGUUGGAAAGUUUCGGCGGUUGGGGAUGGAUUCGCGGCUUAUCAGCUUGUUGGUGGGGUAGUGGCUUACCAAGGCUUUGACGGGUAGCCGGCUGGGGAGGGUGACCGGCACAAUGGGGAUGGAGAUACGGCCCAGCCCCUACGGGGAGGAAGCAGGGGGGAAAAUUGACAAAGGGGUGGAAGCCGGAGCAGGAACGGCGGGUGCGGGAUGACGGCCUUCGGGUUGUAAACCGCUUUCGCUCAUGACGAAGCUUUGUGUGACGGUAGUGGGUAAAGAAGCACCGGCUAACUACGUG